CUACGGGAGGCAGCAGUGAGGAAUAUUGCACAAUGGGGGGAACCCUGAUGCAGCAACGCCGCGUGGAGGAUGACGCAUUUCGGUGUGUAAACUCCUUUUAUAUGUCAAGAAAAUGACGGUAGCAUAUGAAUAAGCACCGGCUAACUCCGUGCCAGCAGCCGGCGGUAAUACGGAGGGUGCAAGCGUUACUCGGAAUCACUGGGCGUAAAGGACGCGUAGGCGGGUUGGAAAGUCAGGUGUGAAAUCCUACAGCUUAACUGUAGAACUGCACUUGAAACUUCUAAUCUAGAGUAUGGGAGGGGGAGAUGGAAUUAGUGGUGUAGGGGUAAAAUCCGUAGAUAUCACUAGGAAUACCUAAAGCGAAGGCGAUCUCCUGGAACAUUACUGACGCUAAGGCGUGAAAGCGUGGGGAGCAAACAGGAUUAGAUACCCUUGUAGUC
Molecule: ribosomal RNA, 440 nt
Filed under: uncultured bacterium
Lineage: Bacteria
Description: partial 16S ribosomal RNA
Rfam family: Bacterial small subunit ribosomal RNA
Source: RNAcentral